CGGCGAACGGGUGAGUAACGCGUGGAUUAUCUGCCCUGAGGUGGGGGAUAACCCGGGGAAACUCGGGCUAAUACCGCAUAUGACCGCGAGGUCAAAGGGGGGUCGCAAGAUCUCUCGCCAUAGGAGGAGUCCGCGUCCGAUUAGCUAGUUAGUAGGGUAAUGGCCUACCAAGGCGACGAUCGGUAGCCGGCCUGAGAGGGUGAUCGGCCACACUGGAACUGAGACACGGUCCAG
RNAcentral lists this ribosomal RNA (234 nucleotides) under uncultured bacterium. Its description in RNAcentral is "partial 16S ribosomal RNA". It matches the Rfam family "Bacterial small subunit ribosomal RNA", at positions 96 to 334 of the family's 1533-position model. The record is from RNAcentral.